GGAAAAAUAGUUUUUUCCACCAUUUUAGCUGCUUUCUUUUGGACAGGUAAUAUGCUGAUCAGCUUUAUCUAAACCUGUGCUAUUUAUGUUAUAAUCCAUACUGCAGCUAUUUUAUUUUUGAUUUUGUCCUCUGCUUUGUUCUGACCUUUGUACUGUAGAGGUUGCUUGGUGUGAAGUUGACAAUAUCAAAACAUUCCUUGUGUCUUCACAUUUUAGAUACAAGAAAUGAUUUCUUCACAUGAAAAUUAUUUCCCCUUGUUUUAUUUUUUUGAUAUAACUUUUUGUGGUAAAUUGCUUUUUUUUUCCCAUACAUAUUCUGACAGUUUUUGUUUGGUUUUUUCACAAAUAAUCAAAUAUGGCUGGUGUGCCAUAAUAUUUGUAUAUAUAUGCUGUGUCCUUUACCUAGAUAAUUUUUUAAUAAUGUUUUUAGAAGUUUAUUAUUCCAGAAGCAUUAUCAGUUUUUCUUCAGUAAACUUCCAUAUUUUGAACAUACCCAUUGGAUGAAUCACACACUAUAAAUAAUUUUAUUCCAU
Molecule: long non-coding RNA, 533 nt
Filed under: Androctonus crassicauda
Lineage: Eukaryota; Metazoa; Arthropoda; Arachnida; Scorpiones; Buthidae
Source: RNAcentral